GGUGAACGCUGGCGGCGUGCCUAACACAUGCAAGUCGAGCGGUACAGUUUGAAGCUUCGGUGGAGAGCUGUAUAGCGGCGGACGGGUGAGUAAAGCGUAGGAACGUGCCCCUCGGAGUUGGAUAGCCAUGGGAAACUGUGGGUAAACCGACAUAGACUCGGGAGAGUAAAGGCCGAAAGGCGCCGAGGGAGCGGUCUGCGUCCCAUCAGGUAGUUGGUAGGGUAAAGGCCUACCAAGCCGACGACGGGUAACCGGUCUGAGAGGAUGGCCGGUCACAAGGGCACUGAGAGACGGGCCCUACUCCUACGGGAGGCAGCAGUGGGGGAUUUUGGACAAUGGGCGAAAGCCUGAUCCAGCGACGCCGCGUGGAGGACGAAGCCCUUCGGGGUGUAAAGCUCUUUCGGCCGGGAAGAAAUCGCAUGGGUUAAUACCCUGUGUGGAUGACGGUACCGGAAUAAGAAGCACCGGCUAACUACGUG
Molecule: ribosomal RNA, 479 nt
Filed under: uncultured bacterium
Lineage: Bacteria
Description: bacterial SSU rRNA
Rfam family: Bacterial small subunit ribosomal RNA
Source: RNAcentral